UUACAAUUGUGGACUCCUGCUUUUUUGUAAAUGGCCAGGUUCCUUCAUUAUAAACGAUUGAAGAAGUUCACAGGCAUCCUACCAAAAGCAGGAGUCCACAAUUGUAACAACAGUUUCACAAGGCGAAAAGACUGGAGGAAGAAAAAGGAAAUCAUAAGGAAAGGCCAACUGGAAGAAAGUUUAAUUCCAGUGGAACAGCCAGACAGGAAAAUAUAUCGCCCUGAACAAAAUUUUCAAAUACAAGAAAUAGCAGAGGAACAUUUCAUCUCGUGAAGCUCAAGACGCUGGAUCAGCAUUGUGCCAUCCCUUUGUGCAAGGUGGAAUGCUCAUGAAUUCAUCAAACUCCUUUACAUG
Molecule: unclassified non-coding RNA, 354 nt
Filed under: Hevea brasiliensis (rubber tree)
Lineage: Eukaryota; Viridiplantae; Streptophyta; Magnoliopsida; Malpighiales; Euphorbiaceae
Source: RNAcentral